RNAcentral lists this ribosomal RNA (292 nucleotides) under uncultured bacterium. RNAcentral describes it as "partial 16S ribosomal RNA". It matches the Rfam family "Bacterial small subunit ribosomal RNA", at positions 505 to 796 of the family's 1533-position model. The record is from RNAcentral.
GUGUCAGCAGCCGCGGUAAUACGUAAGGGGCAAGCGUUGUCCGGAAUCACUGGGCGUAAAGCGCACGUAGGCGGUUUAGCAAGUUAGGGGUGCAAGCUCCAGGCUUAACCUGGAAACUGCCUCUAAAACUACUUCACUUGAGUAUUAGAGGGGAAGCUGGAAUUCACGGUGUAGCGGUGAAAUGCGUAGAUAUCGUGGAGAACACCCGUGGCGAAGGCGGGCUUCUGGCUAAUAACUGACGCUGAGGUGCGAAAGCUAGGGGAGCGAACGGGAUUAGAUACCCCGGUAGUCC